Molecule: unclassified non-coding RNA, 322 nt
Filed under: uncultured fungus
Lineage: Eukaryota; Fungi
Description: sequence contains ITS1
Rfam family: 5.8S ribosomal RNA (bases 1-101)
Source: RNAcentral
GAAAUGCGAUACGCAAUGCGAAUUGCAGAAUUCCGCGAGUCAUCAGAUCUUUGAACGCAAGUGGCGCUGGUUUAACCGCCAGCAUGUUUGUUUCAGUGUGUUCGGAAUCACAAAACUCAGUGCGAUUGAAGGCAAUUUACUUUGCUUUCUCUCGUUAAACAUGGAGGCGCCGAGCCGCCGUCGAACGAAGUAGUCACUUGUAAAAGUGAUCUCGUGCGACAAAGCGCGCUCACUCAGGCAACUCAAUGAACACUACAAAAAUUGCAACCCAAUUUUUUCUCCACAACACCUGAAAUCAAGCAAGAUCACCCGCUGAACUUAA